GACGAACGCUGGCGGCGUGCUUAACACAUGCAAGUCGAACGGAAAGGCCCUGCUUUUGUGGGGUGCUCGAGUGGCGAACGGGUGAGUAACACGUGAGUAACCUGCCCUUGACUUUGGGAUAACUUCAGGAAACUGGGGCUAAUACCGGAUAGGAGCUCCUGCUGCAUGGUGGGGGUUGGACAGUUUCGGCGGUUGGGGAUGGACUCGCGGCUUAUCAGCUUGUUGGUGGGGUAGUGGCUUACCAAGGCUUUGACGGGUAGCCGGCCUGAGAGGGUGACCGGCAACAUUGGGACUGAGAUACGGCCCAGAAUCCUACGGGAGGCAGCAGUGGGGAAUAUUGCAAAAUGGGCGGAAGCCUGAUGCAGCAACGCCGCGUGCGGGAUGACGGCCUUCGGGUUGUAAACCGCUUUCGCCUGUGACGAAGCGUGAGUGACGGUAAUGGGUAAAGAAGCACCGGCUAACUACGUG
RNAcentral lists this ribosomal RNA (468 nucleotides) under uncultured bacterium. RNAcentral's name for it is "partial 16S ribosomal RNA". It matches the Rfam family "Bacterial small subunit ribosomal RNA", at positions 28 to 507 of the family's 1533-position model. The record is from RNAcentral.